RNAcentral lists this ribosomal RNA (254 nucleotides) under uncultured bacterium. Its description in RNAcentral is "partial 16S ribosomal RNA". It matches the Rfam family "Bacterial small subunit ribosomal RNA", at positions 524 to 776 of the family's 1533-position model. The record is from RNAcentral.
GACAGAGGUCCCGAGCGUUAGGCGGAAUCACUGGGCUUAAAAGCGUGUGUAGGCGGAUUGGUAAGUACCUUGUGAAAUCCCACGGCUUAACCGUGGAACUGCUUGGUAUACUGCUUAUCUUGGGCCACUUAGGGGCUACCGGAACAAACGGUGGAGCGGUGAAAUGCGUAGAUAUCGUUUGGAACGCCAAUGGUGAAAACAGGUAGCUGGGAGUGUGCCGACGCUGAGACACGAAAGCCAGGGGAGCGAACGGG